Molecule: long non-coding RNA, 2163 nt
Organism: Artibeus jamaicensis (Jamaican fruit-eating bat)
Lineage: Eukaryota; Metazoa; Chordata; Mammalia; Chiroptera; Phyllostomidae
Exons: 6
Source: RefSeq, a predicted model, not a curated record
UGGCCUCCAUGGAGGAGUGGUGGGAACCCUGACUAGGAAUUGAGCGCUUGGGGGCAGGAAGGGGCCCGUACCACUUUUCGGAGAGCAUUUCCGGAGCGCCUACUGUGUGCUUCACGCUGGGGGAGGGGGCCUCUGCUUGGAGGAGAAAAUGCAAAUUCCGACGUUUGUAAGUUUGUGCCCUCCACCAGGUUCUUCCACAGGCGGUGUGAUUGUUACUAAGGCUCCGAGAGGAAACUGAGGCCCACGUAGCCUCAUGGAUGGAUUUACCUCCAGCUGGUUAGGACAGGCUCUGAAUGCGACGCCUGUUCUGCCCACAAGGGCCUGUAGAGUCGGGUGGAAGGCUCCCUCUGACACCACCGUACAGCCUGUAGCCCCAAGGUCUGGUGCACGGGUGGCGGCCUGAGGUAAUAUAACAGCCAACUCUGCAGGAGUAUAUGUAACACAAGAAGCUGAGGGAGGCACCUCAGGGGUAUCUUCUCAUCUAAUCCGGUUUAUGGGAUGAGGACACCAAGGCCCAGUGUGGAGGCCCCAAACAAUUUCUUGGGAAAGUUGGUGCUUGGUCCACAGCCUUCUUAGAAAAAAAGAGCGAGGCUUGGAGAGUCUCAGGAUGGGGCGUAGUGUUUCACCCUGAAGGUUCACUUUCGCGGCUUGGCAGCGGCGAACCAACGCAGUGACACAGGAGUACAACCAGUGAUUGGGGCGACAAACCUAAGCAGCCAAAGUGAAUGCUUAGCGCGCUCUCAGGGAAGCACAGCUCUGCCAACACCACUGCCAGACGCCACCGGAGCAGCGACCGAGGCACCCGGAGGAAGAAGGCGGUUCAGGGCCCUCCCAGCAGUGAGUCUGUCUGCAGAGCUGACUGCUGCUGGAGCCGGCGGGGCUCUCAGACACGAGAAGAUGUUUCUAAUGAGCUGACUGACCUUCUAAAUGGUCCACAGACCACAGCAAGACAUUUCUUGAGGCUCCUGCUUGAAACCACAGUGUCAUUUUUUAAAUGUGACAACCAAAGGGAAGAGGGUCAGUGCCCCCGACGAGAUAGUCGGGUAUUUCAUGUUUUAAAAACCUGCGUGGCACGCCGGAUGAACAUCGCUCAUCGAGACAGAUGAAGAGGGUGGCGUGUGUGCUUCAGGUACAGAGAGCGGACACGCAGCCGGGAGGCAGGAGAGAUGAAGCCAGCAGACGGGAGCGGCCGCCCCUCAGAGGCCUGUCUCUUCGUGGCGUUCGCUCCUGUCUCUGGUCUUCAUGUCUCCUGCCUCCGGGCCACGUGUCCCGGUCUCUGUCCCUGAAGCACUCAUUUCACCGUCUUCAUCUGUCUAAAUCCUACCUGUGCUCUCAAGGCACAUCUCAUCUGUGAUUUCAAAUGUCAAAUCACGGUGACAUCUUUAAAACAUAUAAAUCAGAUGAUACCAUUCUCGUGCCUGAAAGCCUCCGUGGUUGUGACGGCACCUUCCACCCACACGAGGGCCCUUUACCUGCCCACUUGCCCUGCCCUCCGCCCCAGCCAGCCUGGCUGUCCCUGUCCCAAGGGACACAUUCAAACAGCCAAGUCUGAGUCUUAAUGUGAUAAGGUCUGGGGGAGCUCUCCCCUGACCCUGCUGGGGAGUCACUGCAAAGGCCUCCACCCAGCACAGUGGGAUCUUCUGGCAACAGAUCACAGAGCUAAGACAGGUCACAGUGGUGAGACAGGUCAUAGAGGUAACCUGGCAACCACCCUCGGUCAGCCAGGUAGGCCAGUUGAAGCUGGAUAAAUAGACUUCACGCCAAGGUUUUGGGGGCAGGGGCAGAAGCCCGGACAGGGAGGGAACUGGCCCAGCAGGGGCAGGCUCUGCCAGCACCGCGUGAGCGGGGGCGGGCCUCGCAGAGCCUCUGGAUGGAGGGAGCCCAGCGGCAGCCGAAGAACCUGCCGCAGGUUUCCGACCUGCAGCGCCUGUGACCACGCACUUCGUGGUGUGGGCCGCGACGGGAAACCACUGUUGACCCUGUCGCUCCCUGGUCACAUCACCUAAGUCUGUUUCCUUCAUGGGUUAGUUCUUCUUAGUUCUUAGUUCUCAGCACCUGAAAGGGGGCCUGUGCAGGCCCUGCCCCCGAGACCCUGGCGCAGCGGGGGCCGCAGAGGAGCUGAUGGCGCACACACGUUGAAUGAAUUCGGGAGUGAGGGGCUCU